GCACAAGCGGUGGAUGAUGUGGUUAAUUCGAUGCAACGCGAAAACCUUACCUACCCUUGACAUGUCCGGAAUCCCGAAGAGAUUUGGGAGUGCUCGCAAGAGAACCGGAACACAGGUGCUGCAUGGCUGUCGUCAGCUCGUGUCGUGAGAUGUUGGGUUAAGUCCCGCAACGAGCGCAACCCUUGUCAUUAAUUGCCAUCAUUCAGUUGGGCACUUUAAUGAGACUGCCGGUGACAAACCGGAGGAAGGUGGGGAUGACGUCAAGUCCUCAUGGCCCUUAUGGGUAGGGCUUCACACGUAAUACAAUGGUCGGUACAGAGGGUUGCCAACCCGCGAGGGGGGAGCCAAUCCCAGAAAACCGAUCGUAGUCCGGAUUGCAGUCUGCAACUCGACUGCAUGAAGUCGGAAUCGCUAGUAAUCGCGGAUCAGCAUGUCGCGGUGAAUACGUUCCCGGGCCUU
RNAcentral lists this ribosomal RNA (459 nucleotides) under uncultured Propionivibrio sp. RNAcentral describes it as "bacterial SSU rRNA". It matches the Rfam family "Bacterial small subunit ribosomal RNA", at positions 923 to 1382 of the family's 1533-position model. Lineage: Bacteria; Pseudomonadati; Pseudomonadota; Betaproteobacteria; Rhodocyclales; Rhodocyclaceae. The record is from RNAcentral.